CGCGGGAUGGAGCAGUCUGGUAGCUCGUCGGGCUCAUAACCCGAAGGUCGUUGGUUCAAAUCCAGCUCCCGCAAU
This 75-nucleotide transfer RNA is filed under the name Lactobacillus delbrueckii subsp. bulgaricus. Its description in RNAcentral is "tRNA-Met". It matches the Rfam family "tRNA". Rfam says of the family: Transfer RNA (tRNA) molecules are approximately 80 nucleotides in length. Their secondary structure includes four short double-helical elements and three loops (D, anti-codon, and T loops). Lineage: Bacteria; Bacillati; Bacillota; Bacilli; Lactobacillales; Lactobacillaceae. The record is from RNAcentral.